CAUGAGUAUUUGGGAUACUUUAAUUCCACAAACAUCCUCGGGAACCAAAAGAAUCUCGUUUACGUGCUUGGAAAAGAUGACCGAAAGGGGUUGAGAAUCCCACAGUGUGAAUCCUUUUGUUUUAAGUGCCUCAAAUCCUCCCAGCUGAAAAAGACUGUUAUGUGAAAUGAGAAGCCAGUCUCCCAAGAAGAUGCUACAAAAGAUGAAGUGGGACAGCUCCACAGUGAAUAUAAAUCACCAUAUGAUGAUUUACACCAGCAGAGGAUCUGGCUCUGAAAUGAG
Caretta caretta (loggerhead turtle) is the source of this 282-nucleotide long non-coding RNA. RefSeq lists it as uncharacterized. The record is from RefSeq and is a predicted model, not a curated record. Lineage: Eukaryota; Metazoa; Chordata; Testudines; Cheloniidae.